UUUCCCUUUGGCUCCCUUAUCGUGUCCUCACUCUCUGCCUCCGUUGAAGAGCAGUUGGUCUGCGCGAGUGUGCGGGGUUCGAACCGACCAAGAACAGGUUCCCUUUUUCUUUCUUCGUCUAAAACCGAGAGUGAUUCGAGUGAGCUGUUGAAAAAAGGAGUGUAAGCCUUACAAGACAUCGACAUGAUUACUAAGGCUUUCCUUCCGUUAGUGCUCCUCCUCCAAGUGCUGGCACAGGCGGAGGGCGAAGUGGACCUCGUAAACAACAUGUACGAGGGGCUGGUGGUGGCCCUUGACCCGAACCUGCAAGCGGCAACAGACGCUGACCAACAGGCGGUUAUUGAUGGUGUUAAGGUAAGGGCGUGGGGUGGAGGGAGUG
Molecule: long non-coding RNA, 379 nt
Filed under: Penaeus japonicus
Lineage: Eukaryota; Metazoa; Arthropoda; Malacostraca; Decapoda; Penaeidae
Description: uncharacterized LOC122251784
Source: RNAcentral